CAGUCGCCGCGGGAAUACGAAGGGGGCUAGCGUUGCUCGGAAUUACUGGGCGUAAAGGGUGCGUAGGCGGUUUGAUAAGUCUUGUGUGAAAUCUAUGGGCUCAACCCAUAGUCUGCAUAGGAAACUGUCGGGCUUGAGAGUGGGAGAGGUGAGUGGAAUUUCCGGUGUAGCGGUGAAAUGCGUAGAUAUCGGAAGGAACACCUGUGGCGAAAGCGGCUCACUAGACCAUUUCUGACGCUGAUGCACGAAAGCUAGGGGAGCAAACAGGAUUAGAUACCCGCGUAGUCCCUGUCUCUUAUAC
RNAcentral lists this ribosomal RNA (301 nucleotides) under uncultured bacterium. Its description in RNAcentral is "partial 16S ribosomal RNA". It matches the Rfam family "Bacterial small subunit ribosomal RNA", at positions 509 to 807 of the family's 1533-position model. The record is from RNAcentral.